CACCCGGGAUGCACACGCGGCGCUUCCUCGGCAGUUCGCUAUAACGCCGGCUGUGAUUCGGUCGCUAUGUAGGAGAGCCUCCUCGACCCAGGGGCUUAAAAAUCAGCCUCGGGAACAGUAUAGUUUCCUAGCCAGAGCUGAUAAAAGGCAUCGACUCUCUCCCCGCAAGCGAAGCACCACCAGGACCUCGGAGCAGAAAGAGCCUCCGUUUUACGAUGUCGUUUGUGGGUUUUCGUAUCAUGUCUCGUCGACUCGGCUCUCAGUUGAGCGUGAGCCUCCUCGCUACACACACGCGUUGCCUUUCCUCUCACACCGCCAAGAUGGACCAGCGUGUGAUUACUUUGGAGAAUAUGAAUCCUUUGGUG
Penaeus vannamei (Pacific white shrimp) is the source of this 365-nucleotide non-coding RNA. The record is from RefSeq and is a predicted model, not a curated record. Lineage: Eukaryota; Metazoa; Arthropoda; Malacostraca; Decapoda; Penaeidae.